This 318-nucleotide small nuclear RNA is filed under the name Microcebus murinus (gray mouse lemur). Its description in RNAcentral is "7SK RNA (ENSMICG00000032373.2)". It matches the Rfam family "7SK RNA". From Rfam's summary of the family: 7SK was discovered as an abundant small nuclear RNA in the mid-70s but a possible function has only recently been suggested. Two independent studies have found that 7SK RNA binds the CDK9/cyclin T complex (known as elongation factor P-TEFb). The record is from RNAcentral. Lineage: Eukaryota; Metazoa; Chordata; Mammalia; Primates; Cheirogaleidae.
GGAUGUCAGGGUGAUCUGGCUGCGACAUCUGUCACCUCAUUGAUCACCAGUGUUGAUUCGGUUGAUCUGGCUGGCCUGGUGGGUGUCCCCUUCCCCCCUCACUGCUCCAUGCAUGUCCCUUCCAAAGUUGCAUGCUCAAUCAAAGAGGCUGACCCUCCCCGACAGAGGAGGACCAUUCUUCAGUCAAGGGUAUACGAGUAGCUGCACUCUCCUGCUAGAGCCUCCAAACAAGCUCUCAAAACCACAAUGAGAUAUCACCUAACCCCAGUGAGCAUGGCUUUUAUCAAAAAGUCCCAAAACAACAAAUGCUGGUGUGGA